GUUCAUCCCAGAAGUCACUUGUAUUGAACUCGCUCUAACUCAAUAACCGCAGAAUGGAGAGAGUUCCGGAUGGCGCCAUAAGAAAGAGGAGGAUUUUGUGGUUAGGACAGUGUUUAUCUCAUCCACUCAAGCGAUGUAGGUUAGCCGUGGAGAGUGUUUAAAUACAGGCAAUUUUUGGGUUUAGUGUAGAAAGGCCGGUCCCAGCGCUCACCCCAGAAGUCCCUCGUAUUAAACUUGCCGUAUCUCCGUAACCUGUGCACGGAGAGAGUUCUGGAUGGCGCCAUUAGAAAAAGGAGGAUUUGGAGGUUAGGACAGUGUCUAUCGUAUUAUCUCGAGCAAUGUAGGUUAGCCGUGGAGAGUGUUUGAAUACAGGCAAUUUUUGGGUUUAGUGUAGAAAGGCCGGUCCCAGCGCUCACCCCAGAAGUCACUCGUAUUAAACUCGCUCUAACUCCAUAACCGCAGCACGGAGAGAGUUCUGGAUGGCGCCAUUAGAAAAAGGAGGAUUUGGAGGUUAGGACAGUGUCUAUCGUAUUAUCUCGGGCAAUGUAGGUUAGCCGUGGAGAGUGUUUGAAUACAGGCAAUUUUUGGGUUUAGCACAGAAAGGCCGGUCCCAGCGCUCACCCCAGAAGUCACUCGUAUUAAACUCGCUCUAACUCCAUAACCGCGGCAUGAGGAGAGUUCUGGAUGGCGCCAUAAGAAAGAGGAGGAUUUGGAGGUUAGGACAGUGUCUAUCUCAUCCACUCAAGCGAUGUAGGUUAGCCGUGGAGAGUGUUUGAAUACAGACAAUUUCCGGGUUUAGUGUAGAAGGGCCGGUCCCAGCGAUCACCACAGAAGUCACUCGUAUUAAACUCGCUCUAACUCCAUAACCGCAGAAUGGAGAGAGUUCCGGAUGGCGCCAUUAGAAAGAGGAGGAUUUUGUGGUUAGGACAGUGUCUAUCGUAUUCCCUCGGGCAAUGUAGGUUAGCCGUGGAGAGUGUUUGAAUACAGGCAAUUUUUGGGUUUAGCGUAGAAGGGCCGGUCCCAGCGCACUCACCCCAGAAGUCACUCGUAUUAAACUCGCUCUAACUCCAUAACCGCAGAAUGGAGAGAGUUCCGGAUAGCGUCAUUAGAAAGAGGAAGAUUUUGCGGUUAGGACAGUGUCUAUCUCAUCCACUCAAGCGAUGUAGGUUAGGCGUGGAGAGUGUUUAAAUACAGACAAUUUCCGGGUUUGGCGCUGAAAGGCCGAUCCCCGCGGUACUGAAAAUCCAGCCAUCUCGGGUCUUUUAGGGGUUAAAGGAGAGCUUGCAAAAUCAUGAAUGGUCUAUAAACGGGUCCAGUGCCUUCUGUGGGUUAAAGAGAGUAGUAGUAGUAGUAGUAGUAGUAGUAGUAGUAGUAGUAGUAGUAGUAGUAAUAUUAACAAUCAUCAUGCAAUAUUAGGACUAACUUGGCGCCAUGCAGGAAAGAGAGAGAGAGAGAGAUAGAGCGAGAGAGAGAGAGAGAGAGAGAGAGAGAGAGAGAGAGAGAGAGAGAGAGAGAGAGAGAGAGAGAGACAGUGGAUUUUUUAAGAUUUUUAUUAGGAAUUUUUAGGAUGAAAAUGAGAGAGAGAGAGAGAGAGAGAGAGAGAGAGAGAGAGAGAGAGAGAGAGCGAUAGAGCGAGAGAUAGAGCGAGAG
Molecule: long non-coding RNA, 1650 nt
Organism: Eriocheir sinensis (Chinese mitten crab)
Lineage: Eukaryota; Metazoa; Arthropoda; Malacostraca; Decapoda; Varunidae
Exons: 6
Source: RefSeq, a predicted model, not a curated record